UUGAUUAUAGACACUUGAGCAAGUGUCAAAAAACGGAGAUUAUAAGUGGGAAUGUAAAGAGGUAAAAAGCGUCGAAAAACUUGAAAAGAAAAAAAGUAAAGUAAAUUCAAUUCAGCGGGAGUAACCGCGCCUUAAUCUAAUUUCCCUAAAACCCAAAAAUGGAAACCGCCUCCCUCACUCAGAACACAUUUUACUCGACUCUCUCUCCAAAUUAAACCCUAACCCUCAACUUCUUCUCUAAUCCCUACAUCAUUGUCUCAAAUCAGACGGAGGAAACAAGCGACACAAAUUGCAUUCUUCGUUCAGUGUUUGCAAUUCUAAAAUCAGGUCAAGAUGAUAUGUCGGGGUUACCUCGAGAUGCUUUAGGGUUGAAUACUCCUUUUGUUUCCGAGUUAGCUAGUGAACACCAUGAUGAGCAGGCAACCGAUGAGACAAUAGAAGAACCUAUUGCUGAUGUCAAAUUUAUCAUUGAUGUCGCGUGCUGCUUCUACCCGGAGAUUCCUAUAGUCGAAUUUGUCGUGGCUGCAGCUGUCGAAUUUUCUCGUGGCUGUUGAUGCUGCCCGGAGAUUGCUGUCAUCAGUAUUGCCGCGUGCUGCGCUUGCUGUGUCGAGAUUGCAGCUGUUAGAACAGUCGUGUGAUGCGCCUGCUGUGUUGCGAUGGCUGUUGUUGCCGUUGUCAUGUGUUGCCGCCUGCUGCUGUCAUUGCUGCACCCCCUGCUGUCAUCGUUGCGCCUGCAUCCGACUUUAAAUAUGCAUGGUUAUGAAACUGUGCUACUCAUUGCUCUAUGGUCUCUCCCUCUAAUGCACCCGAUCACAAAAGUUACUCUGAAUUUGGCUUAUGUGACCUACAAAAUGAUUUUAAAAGCUAAUACCUAGAUUAAAAUCAAUGUGCAACUUUAAUAUAAAUGUGAUGCAUUCAAAGAUAAACAAGCAAUCACAAAGGAGGUACAAUGGAUGGUCCGCAUUACAUGAUUUCUAUCCGUUAACAUAUCAUGCUUCUCAUGCUUAUAACAUUUCCAAAUCCCAGAUAAAGUAUUCGAGGAAUCACACACUUUAUUUAUUGGUGAACUUUUGCCGUUGACCGAAUGCUUCAAUACUUAGUCAAUAGUAUUCAUGCUUAUGAAAAUAGUGUUGUAACUUUAUUUUACUUGAAAUUGUGUUGAUAUUUUAUUUGCUAAUUCUUUUGCAGACUUUAAAGUGACAUGGUUAUGCAAAAGAGAGAUCAAUUGAAAGGGCAUCAUUUUUUUAUGGUUGAAGCUUAACAACUAUAAUACAAAUUUUGCUUUAUUGGCUAACAAUUAGCAUUUGUAUUCCCUCUUGUUUCCUUGUAAUUUUUAAAUAACAAAUAUUAUGGAUUUGAUUUUGAACAUAUCAUUGUAAUUAUUUUCACAAGGUUUAUGAAAGAUAUAUGUAGAGGAAGUGUAAUAUUUUGAACAUAUGGAACUCUUGGUUGUAUUAUAUAGAAUUGUACACAUAACUCUUGAGUUUUAAGGCA
Long non-coding RNA from Amaranthus tricolor (Joseph's coat), 1494 nucleotides. RefSeq lists it as uncharacterized. NCBI's taxonomy places the organism in Eukaryota, Viridiplantae, Streptophyta, Magnoliopsida, Caryophyllales, Amaranthaceae. The transcript has 2 exons. The record is from RefSeq and is a predicted model, not a curated record.